UACGUAGGGGGCGAGCGUUGUCCGGAAUUAUUGGGCGUAAAGAGCUCGUAGGCGGUGUGUCACGUCGGCCGUGAAAACCUGCAGCUUAACUGUGGGCGUGCGGUCGAUACGGGCAUCACUGGAGUUCGGCAGGGGAGACUGGAAUUCCUGGUGUAGCGGUGAAAUGCGCAGAUAUCAGGAGGAACACCGGUGGCGAAGGCGGGUCUCUGGGCCGUAACUGACGCUGAGGAGCGAAAGCAUGGGGAGCGAACAGG
This 254-nucleotide ribosomal RNA is filed under the name uncultured bacterium. Its description in RNAcentral is "partial 16S ribosomal RNA". It matches the Rfam family "Bacterial small subunit ribosomal RNA", at positions 524 to 776 of the family's 1533-position model. The record is from RNAcentral.